This 1144-nucleotide ribosomal RNA is filed under the name Bacteroides fragilis. Its description in RNAcentral is "bacterial SSU rRNA". It matches the Rfam family "Bacterial small subunit ribosomal RNA", at positions 379 to 1533 of the family's 1533-position model. Lineage: Bacteria; Pseudomonadati; Bacteroidota; Bacteroidia; Bacteroidales; Bacteroidaceae. The record is from RNAcentral.
UAGCCUGAACCAGCCAAGUAGCGUGAAGGAUGAAGGCUCUAUGGGUCGUAAACUUCUUUUAUAUAAGAAUAAAGUGCAGUAUGUAUACUGUUUUGUAUGUAUUAUAUGAAUAAGGAUCGGCUAACUCCGUGCCAGCAGCCGCGGUAAUACGGAGGAUCCGAGCGUUAUCCGGAUUUAUUGGGUUUAAAGGGAGCGUAGGUGGACUGGUAAGUCAGUUGUGAAAGUUUGCGGCUCAACCGUAAAAUUGCAGUUGAUACUGUCAGUCUUGAGUACAGUAGAGGUGGGCGGAAUUCGUGGUGUAGCGGUGAAAUGCUUAGAUAUCACGAAGAACUCCGAUUGCGAAGGCAGCUCACUGGACUGCAACUGACACUGAUGCUCGAAAGUGUGGGUAUCAAACAGGAUUAGAUACCCUGGUAGUCCACACAGUAAACGAUGAAUACUCGCUGUUUGCGAUAUACAGUAAGCGGCCAAGCGAAAGCAUUAAGUAUUCCACCUGGGGAGUACGCCGGCAACGGUGAAACUCAAAGGAAUUGACGGGGGCCCGCACAAGCGGAGGAACAUGUGGUUUAAUUCGAUGAUACGCGAGGAACCUUACCCGGGCUUAAAUUGCAGUGGAAUGAUGUGGAAACAUGUCAGUGAGCAAUCACCGCUGUGAAGGUGCUGCAUGGUUGUCGUCAGCUCGUGCCGUGAGGUGUCGGCUUAAGUGCCAUAACGAGCGCAACCCUUAUCUUUAGUUACUAACAGGUUAUGCUGAGGACUCUAGAGAGACUGCCGUCGUAAGAUGUGAGGAAGGUGGGGAUGACGUCAAAUCAGCACGGCCCUUACGUCCGGGGCUACACACGUGUUACAAUGGGGGGUACAGAAGGCAGCUAGCGGGUGACCGUAUGCUAAUCCCAAAAUCCUCUCUCAGUUCGGAUCGAAGUCUGCAACCCGACUUCGUGAAGCUGGAUUCGCUAGUAAUCGCGCAUCAGCCACGGCGCGGUGAAUACGUUCCCGGGCCUUGUACACACCGCCCGUCAAGCCAUGGGAGCCGGGGGUACCUGAAGUACGUAACCGCAAGGAUCGUCCUAGGGUAAAACUGGUGACUGGGGCUAAGUCGUAACAAGGUAGCCGUACCGGAAGGUGCGGCUGGAACACCUCCUUU